AUUGAACGCUGGCGGCAUGCUUUACACAUGCGAGUCGAACGGUAACAGCACUUCGGUGGCUGACGAGUGGCGAACGGGUGAGUAAUACAUCGGAACGUGCCUAGUAGUGGGGGAUAACUACUCGAAAGAGUAGCUAAUACCGCAUGAGAUCUAAGGAUGACAGCAGGGGACCUUCGGGCCUUGCGCUACUAGAGCGGCUGAUGGCAGAUUAGGUAGUUGGUGGGAUAAAAGCUUACCAAGCCGACGAUCUGUAGCUGGUCUGAGAGGACGACCAGCCACACUGGGACUGAGACACGGCCCAGACUCCUACGGGAGGCAGCAGUGGGGAAUUUUGGACAAUGGGCGCAAGCCUGAUCCAGCAAUGCCGCGUGCAGGAUGAAGGCCUUCGGGUUGUAAACUGCUUUUGUACGGAACGAAAAGCCCUCUUCUAAUACAGGAGGGUCAUGACGGUACCGUAAGAAUAAGCACCGGCUAACUACGUG
RNAcentral lists this ribosomal RNA (482 nucleotides) under uncultured bacterium. RNAcentral's name for it is "partial 16S ribosomal RNA". It matches the Rfam family "Bacterial small subunit ribosomal RNA", at positions 30 to 507 of the family's 1533-position model. The record is from RNAcentral.